CGCACACGCACACGCUCACAGCCGCCCGCGCCACGCGCUCCCAACUUGUUCCGCGCCCGCAGCCGCUCCGACGUCUUGGAAACUCCAUUCCCAGUUGCCCUCUUAGCCUGAGUUACCCACGCGGACUUCUUCGUAGGCCCCUCACACGCGAAUUUCUGACCCUCUCGUGCACAAAAAACGAGUGGACCCAGGGUCAAAUUGGUACUUCAUGCAGACCAUGUCAGCAGUUACAGCUGAGAGGGGAGAAGGUCAUAUGAUGAGAAUGUGAUAUGAGAGUUUACAAGUAUCCUGAAGGGAUUGUGGGUGGAGAACUAUCUGGAAAACCAAGGACUCAGCAGUAGAGCACCAAGCUUGUAGCUGCUUCUCAUGAGGGAUGAGCAAACUUCUCUCCUCCAAAGGAGAGUAAAGGUAAGGUAGGCUAUGAAAUACAAGAUUAAUUAAUAUAUACACACUAAAAAGUUUUAAUUCUGCCUACAUGGGAGUGUGCUUGUUUUCUAUUGCUGGUAAC
This 508-nucleotide long non-coding RNA is filed under the name Fukomys damarensis (Damara mole-rat). RNAcentral describes it as "lncRNA (ENSFDAG00000024300.1)". The record is from RNAcentral. Lineage: Eukaryota; Metazoa; Chordata; Mammalia; Rodentia; Bathyergidae.